UGGGGAAUAUUGCACAAUGGGGGCAACCCUGAUGCAGCGACGCCGCGUGGGUGAUGAAGGUUUUCGGAUCGUAAAGCCCUUUUCUGCAUGACGAGCACAGGACGGUAGUGCAGGAAUAAGUGUCGGCUAACUACGUGCCAGCAGCCGCGGUAAAACGUAGGACACAAGCGUUAUCCGGAAUUACUGGGCGUAAAGGGCGUGCAGGCGGUUGCGUAAGUUAGGCGUGAAAGACUUCGGCUAAACCGGGGGAGGUCGUCUGAUACUGCGCAACUAGAGUAUGGUAGAGGCGUGUAGAAUUCCGGGUGUAGUGGUGAAAUGCGUAGAGAUCCGGAGGAAUACCAGUGGCGAAGGCGGCACGCUGGGCCAUAACUGACGCUAAGACGCGAAAGCAUGGGUAGCGAACGGGAUUAGAUACCCCCGUAGUCCCUGAGCGGGCUGGCAAGGCGCAU
Molecule: ribosomal RNA, 449 nt
Filed under: uncultured bacterium
Lineage: Bacteria
Description: bacterial SSU rRNA
Rfam family: Bacterial small subunit ribosomal RNA
Source: RNAcentral